UCAGGCCUAACACAUGCAAGUCGAGGGGUAGAAGGAGCUUGCUCCUUUGAGACCGGCGCACGGGUGCGUAACGCGUAUGCAAUCUACCUUUUACAGAGGGAUAGCCCAGAGAAAUUUGGAUUAAUACCUCAUAGUAUAUAUCAUUCGCAUGUUUGGUAUAUUAAAGUUCCAACGGUAAAAGAUGAGCAUGCGUCCCAUUAGUUAGUUGGUAAGGUAACGGCUUACCAAGACGAUGAUGGGUAGGGGUCCUGAGAGGGAGAUCCCCCACACUGGUACUGAGACACGGACCAGACUCCUACGGGAGGCAGCAGUGAGGAAUAUUGGUCAAUGGACGCAAGUCUGAACCAGCCAUGCCGCGUGCAGGAAGACGGUCCUAUGGAUUGUAAACUGCUUUUGUACGGGAAGAAACACUCCUACGUGUAGGAGC
RNAcentral lists this ribosomal RNA (427 nucleotides) under uncultured bacterium. RNAcentral's name for it is "bacterial SSU rRNA". It matches the Rfam family "Bacterial small subunit ribosomal RNA", at positions 42 to 468 of the family's 1533-position model. The record is from RNAcentral.